ACUCCGAAUACCAGUAUAAUUUUAAGAGGCGGAGUCAGACUUUGGGCGCUAAGGUCCAUAGUCAAAAGGGAAACAGCCCAGAUCUUCAUCUAAGGUCCCUAAAUUUGAGCUAAGUGCAAGAAAGGAAGUAGGAUUCCAUCGAUAGUUAGGAGGUUAGCUUAGAAGCAGCUACCCUUUAAAAAGUGCGUAACAGCUUACUAACUAAGGGAUUCUGCGCCAAAGAUUCACGGGGCUUAAGCUCAGUACCGAAGAUAAGAUUGUCCCGCUUUUAGCGGGAUGAGGUAGGGGAGCGUUCUUCAUCCAGUGAAGUCAAACCGUGAGGUUUGGUGGAGGGUGGCGAAGUGAGAAUGUUGGCAUGAGUAACCGCAAUGCCGGUGAAAUUCCGGCACACCGAGAGCCUAAGGUUUCCUUGGCAAUGGUAAUCAGCCAAGGGUUAGGCGGGCCUAAGGCGUAGCCGAAAGGCGAGGCUGAUGGACAGCUGGUUAAUAUUCCGGCCCCCGAGCACAUAAUCCAAAGAGGGGACGAAGUUUAGUAGUUUGGGUGAGUUAUUGGAUUCUCAUUGUUUACUUAAGAAUUUUCAAGAGUAGGCAGAAUAUUCUGGUUCGCCAGAAUAAACUCAAAUGAGCAGACUUCCAAGAAAAGCCUUUUAAGGAAUUAAUUAUGUGCUUGGUCCGUACCACAAACCGACACAGGUAGGCUGGUGUAAGAGUACCAAGGUGAACGGGUGAAACCUCGUUAAGGAACUCGGCAAAAAAGCGUCCGUAAGUUCGCGAUAUGGACUGCCGCCCUUUUGGGCGGCCGCAGUGAAAGUUCCCCUGGCGACUGUUUAUCAAAAACACAGGUCCCUGCUAACUCGUAAGAGGAUGUAUAGGGGCUGAGGCCUGACCAGUGCUGGAACGUUAACGAUCCCGGUCGUUUCAUAUCUGGGUUUACUCAUUUGUGGAGCGGCUGAGGGUCCGAAGCGCCAGUAAACGUCCGCGAUAACUAUAAUCGUGUUAAAGUAGCGUAGUCCCUUGCCGGGUAAGUUCCGGCCCGCAUGAAAGGCUUAACGACCUGGGGACUGUCUCAACGAGGAGCCCGGUGAAAAUGCAAUACCGGUAAAGAUGCCGGUUACCUGCGGCUAGACGGAAAGACCCCGGGAGCUUUACUGUAGCUUCUCAUUGUUUUAUUGUUUUGGAUGCGUAGUGUAGCAGGGAGGC
Molecule: ribosomal RNA, 1199 nt
Filed under: Candidatus Micrarchaeota archaeon CG10_big_fil_rev_8_21_14_0_10_54_18
Lineage: Archaea; Nanobdellati; Microcaldota
Description: bacterial LSU rRNA
Rfam family: Bacterial large subunit ribosomal RNA
Source: RNAcentral